GGGGAAUUUUGCGCAAUGGGGGCAACCCUGACGCAGCGACGCCGCGUGGGUGAUGAAGGCCUUCGGGUUGUAAAGCCCUGUCUGGGGGGAAGAUAGUGACGGUACCCCCGGAGGAAGCCCCGGCUAACUACGUGCCAGCAGCCGCGGUAAUACGUAGGGGGCGAGCGUUGUCCGGAAUUACUGGGCGUAAAGGGCGUGUAGGCGGCCUGGCAAGUCGGCUGUGAAAUCCCCCGGCUCAACCGGGGAGUGGCAGUCGAAACUGUUGGGCUUGAGUGCAGGAGAGGAGGGUGGAAUUCCUGGUGUAGCGGUGAAAUGCGUAGAUAUCAGGAGGAACACCGGUGGCGAAGGCGACCUUCUGGCCUGUUACUGACGCUGAGGCGCGAAAGCCAGGGGAGCGAAC
Molecule: ribosomal RNA, 400 nt
Filed under: uncultured bacterium
Lineage: Bacteria
Description: bacterial SSU rRNA
Rfam family: Bacterial small subunit ribosomal RNA
Source: RNAcentral